UUCCUACGGGAGGCAGCAGUAAGGAAUAUUGGUCAAUGGAGGCAACUCUGAACCAGCCAUGCCGCGUGCAGGAAGACGGCCCUAUGGGUUGUAAACUGCUUUUAUACGGGAAUAAACCUCUCUACGUGUAGGGAGUUGAAUGUACUGUAAGAAUAAGGAUCGGCUAACUCCGUGCCAGCAGCCGCGGUAAUACGGAGGAUCCAAGCGUUAUCCGGAUUUAUUGGGUUUAAAGGGUGCGUAGGCGGCCUAUUAAGUCAGGGGUGAAAGACGGUGGCUCAACCAUCGCAGUGCCCUUGAUACUGAUGGGCUUGAUUACACUUGAGGUAGGCGGAAUGUGACAAGUAGCGGUGAAAUGCAUAGAUAUGUCACAGAACACCAAUUGCGAAGGCAGCUUACUAAGGUGUCAAUGACGCUGAGGCACGAAAGCGUGGGGAUCAAACAGGAUUAGAUACCCUGGUAGUCGA
RNAcentral lists this ribosomal RNA (464 nucleotides) under uncultured Sphingobacteriaceae bacterium. RNAcentral's name for it is "bacterial SSU rRNA". It matches the Rfam family "Bacterial small subunit ribosomal RNA", at positions 336 to 797 of the family's 1533-position model. The record is from RNAcentral. Lineage: Bacteria; Pseudomonadati; Bacteroidota; Sphingobacteriia; Sphingobacteriales; Sphingobacteriaceae.